UCUAGGUGAAAAAAUAGAAAAAUCGACUCUGGGCCGUCAGAUGGAUCAUGCAUGGUACAGAUUGUACUGAGUGGAAUCUGUGCGCACAAUUGCCAUUCGAGUCCCCCGCUCCUAACUAUUUUCCUCCUGACACCCUUCUUCUUCGAGUCCCUCAGCGGCAGCGCAAGCCCCCUCCAACCCUAUCCCUCCGCCGCACCAGGCCGAUGCCGCCGCCCGCCGAUGAUGAUUGGCGAGCUCCUAGAGGAUCUACUCCUUACUUCCUUAGACAGUAGCCGCUGAUACAGCACGCCGCCCGCCCGACCGCGAACCCCCUUGCAACGGCGACGUAUCCAUGACCACGGUGAUCACUUUGGAGCUGUAGCCAUUUUUUUGCGACAAAGCUGUAGAAGAAAUUUAGAUGCCAAACCAGAUCAAGUUUGAGGUAAUGAGCAUCAUUCUGGUGUCAUGGGAAAAAAAUCGUUGUAUGUGCUGCUGAUUUUGUACCAUUGUUUCAGCAUAUUUUGGACGCAUCUUCUUUAUUACUGAAUACCUCUCUUUUGUGUGUCUUGAUUCUGAAGCAUAUGUAAGCCUGGUUACUCCGUACUUUGAUUCUGAAGCAUGUGUGAGGCUGCUGUAUUUUUGGAUAGUGGAUUUAUAGAGAUUGUGACUGUCACACAGGGAAGACAUUUGAUUUCCUGUGUUCUUUGGGUCCACAUUGUUCCUCGGGCGUUAUGCUUACGGAAAUAUAUGUUCUCACGCUGAUGUAUUCCUCCGAUGGUAGGCAUCAGAGUAGAGUAGGAACUAAAGUUUAAACUACAUAAUUUCUCCCUAACGUCUGGCCUAGAAGCAAUGAUCUCACUCCUGACUUUGUAACUUUCACGUCAAGAUCCAGUGAUGGAGGGGAGCAGUGCGACGUUGCCUUUAGUAAAGCUGAUAGUUCCAAUUAUCUCAGCAUGUGCACCAGCACUAUCAGCCAUGGAAUUUGUCAACAGUGCUCAAAAUCAACAUUAAUUCCUCAAUGCUUCUCAUUGAUGAUUCCAGUAUACCGAAAAAGAAACAAUCAUUCUCUCAAGAGGUACACACACUUUCAAAAUUUAUGUACUUUAGUUUCUUAUGUCUGUCAAUGUUAAAUUCCAUGACUUCAUUCAUGUUUCGUAGGAAAGUAUACACCCCUAUCAUGUGCCAUGUCCAUGCCAAACCAUUGGCCUUGCAAUUUGACUGACCUAUUUGUUAUCACUAGAGCAAGUAUGCAUGUUCAUGAUUUAGGAUUAAUUCUUCUUCCAUGACACAUGCCUUUCUCUUUUCCUGUUCACUUAUAUCUCUCAAGAUGUUGUAGUUUUCUUGUUAUUACAAGGUAUAAUAUAAUGCAUGUCAUCAGUAAUCUGCAUCAGUAGGAUAGUCAUAAAACCCCCUUUCUUGUUUGUCGUCGUUGCUACUUAUGAAGUUAUGCUUUUUAGAUAAUCGUUGAAACCUGUAAUCUGCUAACAGGGCCGUACCUCCUAAACACGGGGCCCAGUGCGAAGUCAAAAUUUAGACCCAUGUGUACAAAGCCUAUAACAUUUUUUAUUAAGAUAUAACCCUAGUAUAUUCAUGAAAUAAAGGUAAUCACUGGUACAGUUGUACAAUUUUCUUAGAGUUAGUCUUAGGCAGGCCAUAAGGAGAUCCAGUGAAUGUUUUUUAUUCUUGAGAAGGUGCAGGAGGCGGGAGUUGGGCCUGGAGUGGUUCUGUGGUUGAUUUGGAGUCUAGCAGCCAGCCGCUUAGUCCAUUUUUACUUUGAUGUCUACUGGUCCAUUAGUCUUUAAUUCCUAAAGCUGUACGUAGAAAAAAUGGGGGCCCUGUGCAGCUCCACAGGUUGCACAUGUGAAUGUACAGCCCUGUCUGCUGAUCUUAGCUCUAUACGUGGAUGUUCAGGCAGUCAUUCCAUGUGGAUCUGUAAGCCAUGUUAAAAUUUUGUCAAGGCACCAGAUCAAUUCUUUUGCAAGCUAGUGUGCUUGCAAAUAAUCUUGCAAGAUAUUUUUCAUACAAGAUGACCUAGUGGAGUAACCAAAUAAAAAGUAUCGAGUUCUUUUCAGUAAAAAGUACUAUAGUGAUGAUGUUAUGUUAAGUGUAGAAAAACAUACAUAUUUGUUAAUGCUUCACAAUGUCAGGAAUAGACAUUGUGAUGUGUCUAUUAUUAUACUUGGUACAUGGUUCACUGGUUAUAUUAGGAAGAGUCUCUGCUAAUAUUGUUCUUGUCAAACUCAUGACCAGUUUUGAGUGAUUAAAAUGACCAAUGGCUUUGAGGGUUCAACACACCAUUUUAUCGUACAAUAUGCUCUUUUCUUAUUUGUACAUACAAUAGGCUAUUUGAAAAUGCCAAGGUUUUAUAAAGGAUGGAUUUCUAAUAGCACAGUUAAAUAAUUGUAUUGCCUAAUUCUGCCGGUUGUGGCGAAUCUCUAGAAUGCACUAGAGUGGUUUUUCCUAUACAAGAUAAAUAAUGUUUAUAUAAUUUGUUCAUUAUUGGUAAGUUAGGAUUAUCCACAAAAUAGUUGGCUUGUCUGUGAAUUCCAGCAUAGAAACAUACUUUUGUAUUUGUGAUGAAUGCGAUUUCUUCUCCAUUUUUCCUUCAGUGUGGUAUAUAUGUGCAUGAAACACAGCCAGAUGCUGUUGUUAAUGCAUUUGAUCAGCUCAUGAUUAAAAAGUUUUAAGUAUGAAUGUACAACACAUACACGGACUUGCACUAACUGAAUCAUAUUUGCUCCGUCCCAUCUCUCACAAGACAAGAAGCUCGAUGAACAAGAAGCAUUGCAUCUAGAGGCAACUGUCGUGUGCCAUCAAGAUAUCAAUGUUGAUGCAAUUUUUAAUGGCAAUUCUUGUUGAGCAAUGAUUAUUAUACUCCUUCAGACUUAGCCUUGCCCGUUAUGUACCAAAGCUGAUGCAAUUUUCACUAGCAAGGCUUGUUGAUCCUGUCAUGUUAUUUAUAACUUGAUAUGAAUGUAUUUUGUUAUGUCUGGGAUGUUCCACUUUGACAUGUACUAAACAAAUUAGUAUUUGUGCCUGGAAUGGUCCAUUUUAACAUAAAGUGCCUGUGCCUAUGAGGGUGGCUUAAUUUUUGUCAUGUACUCGAAUAUCUUUGAAAAAUGUUGACAUACUCUUGAGUGACCGCCAUGUUCUAGUUUCUUGCAUAAUUAGUUUAU
Triticum urartu is the source of this 3155-nucleotide non-coding RNA. NCBI's taxonomy places the organism in Eukaryota, Viridiplantae, Streptophyta, Magnoliopsida, Poales, Poaceae. The record is from RefSeq and is a predicted model, not a curated record.